Molecule: ribosomal RNA, 253 nt
Filed under: uncultured bacterium
Lineage: Bacteria
Description: partial 16S ribosomal RNA
Rfam family: Bacterial small subunit ribosomal RNA
Source: RNAcentral
UACAGAGGUCUCAAGCGUUGUUCGGAUUCAUUGGGCGUAAAGGGUGCGUAGGCGGCGCGGUAAGUCGGGUGUGAAAUCUCGGAGCUUAACUCCGAAACUGCAUUCGAUACUGCCGUGCUUGAGGACUGGAGAGGAGACUGGAAUUUACGGUGUAGCGGUGAAAUGCGUAGAUAUCGUAAGGAACACCAGUGGCGAAGGCGGCCACCUGGACGGUAACUGACGCUGAGACGCGAAAGCGUGGGGAGCAAACAGG